Eleginops maclovinus (Patagonian blennie) is the source of this 1176-nucleotide long non-coding RNA. RefSeq lists it as uncharacterized. The record is from RefSeq and is a predicted model, not a curated record. Lineage: Eukaryota; Metazoa; Chordata; Actinopteri; Perciformes; Eleginopidae. The transcript is spliced from 2 exons.
AAAGGGUGUGAACAGUGCUGGAAUGUUCUAAGUAGAUUUACUCAAGAACUGAACUUUAGUACAAUUCAAGAGGGAGUCGGGUUGGCUUCCCCCGGCUCUUUGUUGGGAGAAGACGCCUGGCAGUUCAUCCUCACCCAGUGUAACCCAGGUUUUGUUGACCCACAGGAUCAAAUGACCACAGUUCUGGUGCCUCCAGUCAACUACUUCACACGCUUUCAUACAAUCGAAACCACGCACUGGUGUCCAUGCCAUUCAGUAAAGCAACAGUACACAUUUAGCCCUCACUGGGAACAGUAGGGCUGUGUCCUGGUAUUCCAUUCCCAAAAUGCGACCAGUUCUCAAGGUGUCCGCCUCACAACUCAGAGAAAUCCUAUUGGUGCCAUAACUGCCUGCAGUAGAAACACAGACACCAUCUUCUCCCCUUCCAGUGGACUCAUACGUAGUGCAUUGCCCAGCUAAAUGAGUCAGGACGCGACAUGGGUCAGUCAUACGAUGACAUCGGAGUAGAGUUACAGCUGCCAACCCCCCCGAAAUCAUCCAACACCAACAACCCCACACUUCCCAAAACAUGAACAGGGGGAUCAUGGGACACAUAUCUAUAAAAAGACUCAAAAGGUAGCCGAACAUUCUAGUGUUUCCAGCUCUGACGACUCAUCAACAUGUACUUAAUUCCUGUCUGCAAUGUGUCCUCAAUAAAAGGGAAAAACAAUCAAUUUUAUUUUUGACUGAAAACAGACAAGAGCAGCUAAUUCCCACAAUUUUGAGGCUUGAGGAAGAACAUAUUUAGCCUUUUUGUUUGUAAAAUUCGAUGUAAAUUUGUUAGGUGAUCAAGAUGUUGGCCAUUCUUUUUUCAAUCAACAAACUGAUUGACUGAUUAUAUAUCAGAAUUAACUGAACAACUUGCAUUAAAAAAAUCUACUGUCCUUUGAAAUAAACACUACCAGACACAUAUUUAUACUUUUUUAUAAAACAACUUGUCCACAAACAUGCUUGCACCCAUGUAGCACAUAUCUGUAGAAUUACAGCAUAGUAACGAAGGUUAAAUACAUGUUUAACUGUAAUUCCAUGUACAAUUGAUAAAAAAUGUGGCACUUAAAUUUGUUAUCUAUAUCGAUGGGAUUAUUUGUAUUAAUGUGUGCUGGCAACUUUACUCAAUAAAGUUUUAUUUUGUCUUUA